GACGAACGCUGGCGGCGUGCCUAACACAUGCAAGUCAACUUGACUGAAGGAGCAAUCUGACAGUAGAGUGGCGCAAGGGUGCGUAACGCGUAAGUAACUUGCCCAAGGUAAGGAAUAACGUCGAGAAAUCGGCGCUAAUACCUCAUAAUGCAGCGGAUCCGCAUGGAUAUGUUGUUAAAGGUUUACCGCCUUGGGAUAGGCUUGCGUCUGAUUAGCUAGUUGGUGUGGUAACGGCACACCAAGGCUACGAUCAGUAACUGGUCUGAGAGGAUGAUCAGUCACACUGGAACUGAGACACGGUCCAGACUCCUACGGGAGGCAGCAGUGAGGAAUAUUGGGCAAUGCUCGAAAGAGUGACCCAGCAACGCCGCGUGGAGGAUGAAGGUAUUCUAUAUCGUAAACUCCUAGUGAGAGCAGACGAAAGACAGAUUAUAAUCUGGAUGACUGUAUACUCAGA
RNAcentral lists this ribosomal RNA (457 nucleotides) under uncultured bacterium. Its description in RNAcentral is "bacterial SSU rRNA". It matches the Rfam family "Bacterial small subunit ribosomal RNA", at positions 28 to 485 of the family's 1533-position model. The record is from RNAcentral.